This 82-nucleotide ribosomal RNA is filed under the name Haladaptatus sp. W1. Its description in RNAcentral is "partial 23S ribosomal RNA". It matches the Rfam family "Archaeal large subunit ribosomal RNA", at positions 764 to 845 of the family's 2987-position model. The record is from RNAcentral. Lineage: Archaea; Methanobacteriati; Methanobacteriota; Halobacteria; Halobacteriales; Haladaptataceae.
AAGGGCGGGGAGUCAACUGGAUACGACCCGAAACCGGAUGAUCUACGCAUGAGCAAGACGAAGCGUGGCGAAAGCCACGUGG